Molecule: ribosomal RNA, 466 nt
Filed under: uncultured bacterium
Lineage: Bacteria
Description: bacterial SSU rRNA
Rfam family: Bacterial small subunit ribosomal RNA
Source: RNAcentral
UGCCAGACUCCUACGGGAGGCAGCAGUGAGGAAUAUUGGUCAAUGGCCGAAGGGCUGAACCAGCCAAGCCGCGUGAAGGAAUAAGGCCCUACGGGUCGUAAACUUCUUUAGUCAGGGAACAAAGGGAGCCACGCGUGGCGCUGUGAGUGUACCUGAAGAAUAAGCACCGGCUAACUACGUGCCAGCAGCCGCGGUAAUACGUAGGGUGCGAGCGUUAAUCGGAAUUACUGGGCGUAAAGGGUGUGCAGGCGGUUUUGCAAGAUGGAUGUGAAAGCCCCGGGCUUAACCUGGGAAAGCCAUACAUGACUGCAAGACUAGAGUGCGUCAGAGGGGGGUGGAAUUCCAAGUGUAGCAGUGAAAUGCGUAGAUAUUUGGAAGAACACCGAUGGCGAAGGCAGCCCCCUGGGACGCAACUGACGCUCAUACACGAAAGCGUGGGGAGCAAACAGGAUUAGAUACCCCGGUA